Molecule: long non-coding RNA, 1620 nt
Organism: Peromyscus eremicus (cactus mouse)
Lineage: Eukaryota; Metazoa; Chordata; Mammalia; Rodentia; Cricetidae
Exons: 2
Source: RefSeq, a predicted model, not a curated record
CAAGCUGUGUUAGCCCACUCAUCAGCACAUGCACACACCUCAUGUCAGUGUCCUCACAGGCUCUGCCAGGCAUCUUCUGAUGCCACAAUGGUCAGGUGAACAGAACAGGUGCCAACCAACUAUGUCUGGUGCCAUACCUGCCUCACAGACCACACACAGCCAGAUGAUGCCUCUAUAGGAGCCUGGAGACCCGCCCACAGAAGGCAGGGGUGAUGGCCCUCCUCACCUCCACUCUUGAGGAGGUAGCGGUUGACAUCCUGGAUGGUGGUGUUGAUGGUAGGUCCAGUAGGGACACUGCCAGGAGUGACAUCAGGGUCAUUCUCGGGAUCAAUAUUCUGAAGUCCUUUCCACGGAACUCCGGGAUGGAAUUCUGUUCAUGGAAAGCAAUAUGAGGCUGCAUUCUAGAGCACCUUCAUGUUGCAUCAUGACACUUAAAAUUCAUUUUUUCAUAUUUGUAGAAAUUUUAAAAAUCUGAUAAUUAGGUUCAGAGGUACUCUUGCUUACAUAUAGUUCAUUAGAUCAGUCAUUCUUUUUGAGCAAACUAGAAACAGCUACCACAUUUUAGGUGUGAAUGCCUUUACCAGGUAGAAGCUGGUGUCCCUUCCCCACUCCCCCUUGCCACUGGCCUACUCCUAUCUUGAACUGGGAAGCUACAGAAGAAUGCUUGACACCAGUGUACUCCAUGAAGUCUCAACAGAAACCCCAAGCUAUGGACUUGAUGACUGCAGGACCCACAGUGCAGAUCUAGGCUCCCUCAGCUCUAUUUGCCAUCGUAGGCUCAGGGCACAUUUGCUCUACUGCUGCCCACGAGUAUCGUGCAGUCUUACCUGGGGGCCAGCUGAUGCUGGAGCCAUUUGAGAUCUUAUCACUGUCAGAUUUGGCACGUGACCAGCUAUGAGGAACAGCUACGGGAGGACUGGCUGGUGACUCACUGUUCUGGAUUAAAUCGUACCGGCCAUACGAGUCAUCAAUGGAGGACUUACCUGGAGGCCCGAUGCUUAGACCUCCAGGGAUAGCACCUACAGAACAGGACCAGGAACCAAGUGAACAUUCUCCCAAAGACGCCCAGGAUACACUGCAGCCUUCCCUUCCAGCAGAGCGCCUGGGGCACAACACACAGAGAGCAACACUGACGACACAGGAGCACAGGACAGGCGGUGGCGAUGGCUUCGGGAAGGUGGCCCCUUGGCUGCUAGCAAGGAGCAGGGGCAUCAUAGGCCUGAGCUGCUCCCCAGCCCCAUGACCAUGCUGCACACCUAUGACUGGGCCCUGCUGGCUUUGCCCUGUCCACUCUGGCCACACUGCCCUCUGCCAGCCCCUCGGGAGCCCAGUCAUCCAUCCUCCUCUGUCUCCCCAGGUCUUCAUGCACUUGCUUCCUCCCUCCAAGCCACCCUUCUCAGGGGCCUUCCAGACCAUCUGACCUGAGAAAACUCCCUCCUCAAGCUCACUGCUUCCCAUUCACUGCCCAGUGUGGGAGAACUUUUGGCCUGGUGAACUGUGUUUGGGUCACUUUAACUGUACUAUACAAGUCUGCUUCCACCUGCCUGGUUUCCCUGCUUUACACUAUGCCCAACAUGAUUUGGCAUUUUUAUAUAAAUGUACUAUUGUCUGUCCCUGUCA